Long non-coding RNA from Melanotaenia boesemani (Boeseman's rainbowfish), 242 nucleotides. RefSeq lists it as uncharacterized. The transcript is spliced from 3 exons. The record is from RefSeq and is a predicted model, not a curated record. NCBI's taxonomy places the organism in Eukaryota, Metazoa, Chordata, Actinopteri, Atheriniformes, Melanotaeniidae.
GGUUUUGUGAAAUAGAGAAACUUAGUUUAGUGUAGCUCUCCCACAGUGUGAAAACUGUUUGGGCUUUUGCGUUCUCCUUCUGUGGUUUAUUGACGGAAACUCUUGUUUUUCUUGUGUUUGCCUGAACGCCCCACGACAGAGGAUCAAAUGUGACACGGGACUCACAUUUUCAGAGUACGAGGAAGAGGAUGCGAGGAAGACGUGUGGUUUUCAUUUCUCCUGCUGUGCAUUAGAUGUUGAAC